This 169-nucleotide antisense RNA is filed under the name Photobacterium profundum SS9. Its description in RNAcentral is "Vibrio RNA AS7". It matches the Rfam family "Vibrio RNA AS7". Rfam says of the family: Identified by direct cloning an parallel sequencing experiments with 5S/tRNA depletion. Confirmed by Northern blot. The record is from Rfam by way of RNAcentral. Lineage: Bacteria; Pseudomonadati; Pseudomonadota; Gammaproteobacteria; Vibrionales; Vibrionaceae.
GGUGUCUGUAGUAAUAGUUUGCUGCGAUCCUGAAUGUCGCCGCCAAUAUGAUACGGUAAACCACAGUUAGCAAACGAUACGAACUCGCCUCGUUCGAACAUGAUGAUUUCGGCAUCUUCACUCAAACGACGUGCUCUAGCUGCUGCUGAAGCACCACCUGCAACGCCUC